CACGUGCUACAAUGGCAUAUACAGUGAGACGCAAUACCGCGAGGUGGAGCAAAUCUAUAAAAUAUGUCCCAGUUCGGAUUGUUCUCUGCAACUCGAGAGCAUGAAGCCA
This 109-nucleotide ribosomal RNA is filed under the name uncultured Campylobacter sp. RNAcentral's name for it is "partial 16S ribosomal RNA". It matches the Rfam family "Bacterial small subunit ribosomal RNA", at positions 1219 to 1327 of the family's 1533-position model. The record is from RNAcentral. Lineage: Bacteria; Pseudomonadati; Campylobacterota; Epsilonproteobacteria; Campylobacterales; Campylobacteraceae.